This 591-nucleotide ribosomal RNA is filed under the name Atheta hampshirensis. RNAcentral describes it as "partial 16S ribosomal RNA". It matches the Rfam family "Bacterial large subunit ribosomal RNA", at positions 1849 to 2712 of the family's 2925-position model. The record is from RNAcentral. Lineage: Eukaryota; Metazoa; Arthropoda; Insecta; Coleoptera; Staphylinidae.
AAAGUCUAGCCUGCCCAAUGAGGAGUUUAAUGGCCGCAGUAUUUUGACUGUGCAAAGGUAGCAUAAUCAUUAGUUUCUUAAUUAGGAACUGGAAUGAAAGGUUGGACGAGAAAAUAACUGUCUCUUAAUAAAUUUUUUAGAAUUUUAUUUUUAAGUUAAAAAGCUUAAAUAUUUUUAAAAGACGAGAAGACCCUAUAGAGUUUUAUAAAAGUUUUUAUAAUUUUAAUUUAUGAAUAAUUUAAAAUUUUUAUAUAAAUUUUUAUUUGAUUGGGGUGAUUAAAAAAUUUAUAAAACUUUUUUUUUAUUAAAACAUUAAUUUAUGAUUUAUUGAUCCAUUAAUUAUGAUUAUAAGAUUAAAUUACCUUAGGGAUAACAGCGUAAUUUCUUUUAAGAGUUCAAAUCGAUAGAGAAGAUUGCGACCUCGAUGUUGGAUUAAAAUAAAAUUUUGGUGUAGAAGCUAAAAGAUUAGGUCUGUUCGACCUUUAAAAUUUUACAUGAUCUGAGUUUAAACCGGUGUAAGCCAGGUUGGUUUCUAUCUUUAAAUAGAUAAAAUAUUUUAGUACGAAAGGACCAAAUAAUAGUAAAAUUUAU